RNAcentral lists this ribosomal RNA (957 nucleotides) under Vibrio sp. BL89. Its description in RNAcentral is "bacterial SSU rRNA". It matches the Rfam family "Bacterial small subunit ribosomal RNA", at positions 57 to 994 of the family's 1533-position model. The record is from RNAcentral. Lineage: Bacteria; Pseudomonadati; Pseudomonadota; Gammaproteobacteria; Vibrionales; Vibrionaceae.
GCAGUCGAGCGGAACGAGUUAUCUGAGCCUUCGGGUGGAGAUAACGGCGUCGAGCGGCGGACGGGUGAGUAAUGCCUGGGAAAUUGCCCUGAUGUGGGGGAUAACCAUUGGAAACGAUGGCUAAUACCGCAUAAUAGCUUCGGCUCAAAGAGGGGGACCUUCGGGCCUCUCGCGUCAGGAUAUGCCCAGGUGGGAUUAGCUAGUUGGUGAGGUAAUGGCUCACCAAGGCGACGAUCCCUAGCUGGUCUGAGAGGAUGAUCAGCCACACUGGAACUGAGACACGGUCCAGACUCCUACGGGAGGCAGCAGUGGGGAAUAUUGCACAAUGGGCGCAAGCCUGAUGCAGCCAUGCCGCGUGUAUGAAGAAGGCCUUCGGGUUGUAAAGUACUUUCAGCAGUGAGGAAGGUGGUGUCGUUAAUAGCGGCAUCAUUUGACGUUAGCUGCAGAAGAAGCACCGGCUAACUCCGUGCCAGCAGCCGCGGUAAUACGGAGGGUGCGAGCGUUAAUCGGAAUUACUGGGCGUAAAGCGCAUGCAGGUGGUUUGUUAAGUCAGAUGUGAAAGCCCGGGGCUCAACCUCGGAAUUGCAUUUGAAACUGGCAGACUAGAGUACUGUAGAGGGGGGUAGAAUUUCAGGUGUAGCGGUGAAAUGCGUAGAGAUCUGAAGGAAUACCGGUGGCGAAGGCGGCCCCCUGGACAGAUACUGACACUCAGAUGCGAAAGCGUGGGGAGCAAACAGGAUUAGAUACCCUGGUAGUCCACGCCGUAAACGAUGUCUACUUGGAGGUUGUGGCCUUGAGCCGUGGCUUUCGGAGCUAACGCGUUAAGUAGACCGCCUGGGGAGUACGGUCGCAAGAUUAAAACUCAAAUGAAUUGACGGGGGCCCGCACAAGCGGUGGAGCAUGUGGUUUAAUUCGAUGCAACGCGAAGAACCCUUACCUACUCUUGACAUCCUCAGA